RNAcentral lists this transfer RNA (81 nucleotides) under Candidatus Pacearchaeota archaeon CG1_02_35_32. RNAcentral describes it as "tRNA-Ser". It matches the Rfam family "tRNA". From Rfam's summary of the family: Transfer RNA (tRNA) molecules are approximately 80 nucleotides in length. RNAcentral also lists the same sequence under 6 other names. Lineage: Archaea; Nanobdellati. The record is from RNAcentral.
GCCGCUGUUGGGCAAUGGUCGCCCGCUGGUCUUGAGAACCAGUUUCCUCUGGAUGUCCCGGUUCGACUCCGGGCAGCGGCG